Molecule: ribosomal RNA, 253 nt
Filed under: uncultured bacterium
Lineage: Bacteria
Description: partial 16S ribosomal RNA
Rfam family: Bacterial small subunit ribosomal RNA
Source: RNAcentral
UACGGAGGGGCCUAGCGUUGUUCGGAAUUACUGGGCGUAAAGCGUCCGUAGGCGGACUGUAAAGUCAGGGGUGAAAUCCCAGGGCUCAACCUUGGAAUUGCCUUUGAAACUCGCGGUCUUGAGGUCUAGAGAUGUGAUUGGAACAUGUGGUGUAGAGGUGAAAUGCGUAGAUAUCCCAAGGAACACCGAUGGCGAAGGCGGCUCACAGGCUCUACACUGACGCUGAGGUGCGAAAGCGUGGGGAGCAAACAGG